CAUAGGUUAAUGAGGCGAACCGGGGGAACUGAAACAUCUAAGUACCCCGAGGAAAAGAAAUCAACCGAGAUUCCCCCAGUAGCGGCGAGCGAACGGGGAGCAGCCCAGAGCCUGAAUCAGUAUGUGUGUUAGUGGAAGCGUCUGGAAAGGCGCGCGAUACAGGGUGACAGCCCCGUACACAAAAAUGCACAUGCUGUGAGCUCGAUGAGUAGGGCGGGACACGUGGUAUCCUGUCUGAAUAUGGGGGGACCAUCCUCCAAGGCUAAAUACUCCUGACUGACCGAUAGUGAACCAGUACCGUGAGGGAAAGGCGAAAAGAACCCCGGCGAGGGGAGUGAAAAAGAACCUGAAACCGUGUACGUACAAGCAGUGGGAGCACGCUUAGGCGUGUGACUGCGUACCUUUUGUAUAAUGGGUCAGCGACUUAUAUUCUGUAGCAAGGUUAACCGAAUAGGGGAGCCGAAGGGAAACCGAGUCUUAACUGGGCGUUAAGUUGCAGGGUAUAGACCCGAAACCCGGUGAUCUAGCCAUGGGCAGGUUGAAGGUUGGGUAACACUAACUGGAGGACCGAACCGACUAAUGUUGAAAAAUUAGCGGAUGACUUGUGGCUGGGGGUGAAAGGCCAAUCAAACCGGGAGAUAGCUGGUUCUCCCCGAAAGCUAUUUAGGUAGCGCCUCGUGAAUUCAUCUCCGGGGGUAGAGCACUGUUUCGGCAAGGGGGUCAUCCCGACUUACCAACCCGAUGCAAACUGCGAAUACCGGAGAAUGUUAUCACGGGAGACACACGGCGGGUGCUAACGUCCGUCGUGAAGAGGGAAACAACCCAGACCGCCAGCUAAGGUCCCAAAGUCAUGGUUAAGUGGGAAACGAUGUGGGAAGGCCCAGACAGCCAGGAUGUUGGCUUAGAAGCAGCCAUCAUUUAAAGAAAGCGUAAUAGCUCACUGGUCGAGUCGGCCUGCGCGGAAGAUGUAACGGGGCUAAACCAUGCACCGAAGCUGCGGCAGCGACGCUGAUGCGUUGUUGGGUAGGGGAGCGUUCUGUAAGCCUGCGAAGGUGUGCUGUGAGGCAUGCUGGAGGUAUCAGAAGUGCGAAUGCUGACAUAAGUAACGAUAAAGCGGGUGAAAAGCCCGCUCGCCGGAAGACCAAGGGUUCCUGUCCAACGUUAAUCGGGGCAGGGUGAGUCGACCCCUAAGGCGAGGCCGAAAGGCGUAGUCGAUGGGAAACAGGUUAAUAUUCCUGUACUUGGUGUUACUGCGAAGGGGGGACGGAGAAGGCUAUGUUGGCCGGGCGACGGUUGUCCCGGUUUAAGCGUGUAGGCUGGUUUUCCAGGCAAAUCCGGAAAAU
This 1343-nucleotide ribosomal RNA is filed under the name Escherichia coli. RNAcentral's name for it is "partial 23S ribosomal RNA". It matches the Rfam family "Bacterial large subunit ribosomal RNA", at positions 165 to 1550 of the family's 2925-position model. The record is from RNAcentral. Lineage: Bacteria; Pseudomonadati; Pseudomonadota; Gammaproteobacteria; Enterobacterales; Enterobacteriaceae.